AAAGUUGUUGCAGUUAAAAAGCUCGUAGUUGAAGUUCUGGCUGUAUUGGGCCUUUGCACUUGAUGCGAAGGAACCAGCAGUCAUCCGCUUGCAAAUACAUGUCCUUCCUUAACCGGUAGGCUGUAUAAGUAAGCACUUUACCUUGAGAAAAACAGAGUGUUCCAGACAGGUUUGUCCGGAAUGCGUUAGCAUGGAAUAAUAGAAUAUGACUGAAGUCGAUUUAUUGGUUUAAGGCUUUAGUAAUGAUUAAUAGGAACAAUCGGGGGCAUUGGUACUUGUCAGUCAGAGGUGAAAUUCUAGGAUUUGACAAAGACUAACUGAUGCGAAAGCGUUUGCCAAGAAUGUUUUCAUUAAUCAAGAACGAAAGUUAGGGGAUCAAAGACGAUCAGAUACCGUCCUAGUCUUAACUAUAAACUAUACCGACUCGGAUUCAGAUGAA
RNAcentral lists this ribosomal RNA (439 nucleotides) under uncultured eukaryote. RNAcentral's name for it is "SSU rRNA". It matches the Rfam family "Eukaryotic small subunit ribosomal RNA", at positions 606 to 1061 of the family's 1831-position model. The record is from RNAcentral.